GUUAUAUGGUCAAGUGAAGAAGCGCAUACGGUGGAUGCCUUGGCAGUCAGAGGCGAUGAAAGACGUGGUAGCCUGCGAAAAGCUUCGGGGAGUCGGCAAACAGACUUUGAUCCGGAGAUCUCUGAAUGGGGGAACCCACCUAGGAUAACCUAGGUAUCUUGUACUGAAUCCAUAGGUGCAAGAGGCGAACCAGGGGAACUGAACAUCUAAGUACCCUGAGGAAAAGAAAUCAACCGAGAUUCCCUUAGUAGUGGCGAGCGAACGGGGAUUAGCCCUUAAGCUUCAUUGAUUUUAGCGGAACGCUCUGGAAAGUGCGGCCAUAGUGGGUGAUAGCCCCGUACGCGAAAGGAUCUUUGAAGUGAAAUCGAGUAGGACGGAGCACGAGAAACUUUGUCUGAACAUGGGGGGACCAUCCUCCAAGGCUAAAUACUACUGACUGACCGAUAGUGAACCAGUACCGUGAGGGAAAGGCGAAAAGAACCCCGGAGAGGGGAGUGAAAUAGAACCUGAAACCGUAUGCGUACAAGCAGUGGGAGCCUACUUGUUAGGUGACUGCGUACCUUUUGUAUAAUGGGUCAGCGACUUAUAUUCAGUGGCAAGCUUAACCGUAUAGGGUAGGCGUAGCGAAAGCGAGUCUUAAUAGGGCGUUUAGUCGCUGGGUAUAGACCCGAAACCGGGCGAUCUAUCCAUGAGCAGGUUGAAGGUUAGGUAACACUGACUGGAGGACCGAACCCACUCCCGUUGAAAAGGUAGGGGAUGACUUGUGGAUCGGAGUGAAAGGCUAAUCAAGCUCGGAGAUAGCUGGUUCUCCUCGAAAGCUAUUUAGGUAGCGCCUCAUGUAUCACUCUGGGGGGUAGAGCACUGUUUCGGCUAGGGGGUCAUCCCGACUUACCAAACCGAUGCAAACUCCGAAUACCCAGAAGUGCCGAGCAUGGGAGACACACGGCGGGUGCUAACGUCCGUCGUGAAAAGGGAAACAACCCAGACCGCCAGCUAAGGUCCCAAAGUUGUGGUUAAGUGGUAAACGAUGUGGGAAGGCUUAGACAGCUAGGAGGUUGGCUUAGAAGCAGCCAUCCUUUAAAGAAAGCGUAAUAGCUCACUAGUCGAGUCGGCCUGCGCGGAAGAUGUAACGGGGCUCAAACCACACACCGAAGCUGCGGGUGUCACGUAAGUGACGCGGUAGAGGAGCGUUCUGUAAGCCUGUGAAGGUGAGUUGAGAAGCUUGCUGGAGGUAUCAGAAGUGCGAAUGCUGACAUGAGUAACGACAAUGGGUGUGAAAAACACCCACGCCGAAAGACCAAGGGUUCCUGCGCAACGUUAAUCGACGCAGGGUUAGUCGGUUCCUAAGGCGAGGCUGAAAAGCGUAGUCGAUGGGAAACAGGUUAAUAUUCCUGUACUUCUGGUUACUGCGAUGGAGGGACGGAGAAGGCUAGGCCAGCUUGGCGUUGGUUGUCCAAGUUUAAGGUGGUAGGCUGAAAUCUUAGGUAAAUCCGGGGUUUCAAGGCCGAGAGCUGAUGACGAGUCGUCUUUUAGAUGACGAAGUGGUUGAUGCCAUGCUUCCAAGAAAGCUUCUAAGCUUCAGGUAACCAGGAACCGUACCCCAAACCGACACAGGUGGUCGGGUAGAGAAUACCAAGGCGCUUGAGAGAACUCGGGUGAAGGAACUAGGCAAAAUGGCACCGUAACUUCGGGAGAAGGUGCGCCGGCUAGGGUGAAGGAUUUACUCCGUAAGCUCUGGCUGGUCGAAGAUACCAGGCCGCUGCGACUGUUUAUUAAAAACACAGCACUCUGCAAACACGAAAGUGGACGUAUAGGGUGUGACGCCUGCCCGGUGCCGGAAGGUUAAUUGAUGGGGUUAGCGCAAGCGAAGCUCUUGAUCGAAGCCCCGGUAAACGGCGGCCGUAACUAUAACGGUCCUAAGGUAGCGAAAUUCCUUGUCGGGUAAGUUCCGACCUGCACGAAUGGCGUAACGAUGGCGGCGCUGUCUCCACCCGAGACUCAGUGAAAUUGAAAUCGCUGUGAAGAUGCAGUGUAUCCGCGGCUAGACGGAAAGACCCCGUGAACCUUUACUGUAGCUUUGCACUGGACUUUGAGCCUGCUUGUGUAGGAUAGGUGGGAGGCUUUGAAGCGUGGACGCCAGUUCGCGUGGAGCCAUCCUUGAAAUACCACCCUGGCAUGCUUGAGGUUCUAACUCUGGUCCGUGAUCCGGAUCGAGGACAGUGUAUGGUGGGCAGUUUGACUGGGGCGGUCUCCUCCUAAAGAGUAACGGAGGAGUACGAAGGUGCGCUCAGACCGGUCGGAAAUCGGUCGCAGAGUAUAAAGGCAAAAGCGCGCUUGACUGCGAGACAGACACGUCGAGCAGGUACGAAAGUAGGUCUUAGUGAUCCGGUGGUUCUGUAUGGAAGGGCCAUCGCUCAACGGAUAAAAGGUACUCCGGGGAUAACAGGCUGAUACCGCCCAAGAGUUCAUAUCGACGGCGGUGUUUGGCACCUCGAUGUCGGCUCAUCACAUCCUGGGGCUGAAGCCGGUCCCAAGGGUAUGGCUGUUCGCCAUUUAAAGUGGUACGCGAGCUGGGUUUAGAACGUCGUGAGACAGUUCGGUCUCUAUCUGCCGUGGACGUUUGAGAUUUGAGAGGGGCUGCUCCUAGUACGAGAGGACCGGAGUGGACGAACCUCUGGUGUUCCGGUUGUCACGCCAGUGGCAUUGCCGGGUAGCUAUGUUCGGAAAGAUAACCGCUGAAAGCAUCUAAGCGGGAAACUUGCCUCAAGAUGAGAUCUCACUGGGAACUUGAUUCCCCUGAAGGGCCGUCGAAGACUACGACGUUGAUAGGCUGGGUGUGUAAGCGUUGUGAGGCGUUGAGCUAACCAGUACUAAUUGCCCGUGAGGCUUGACCAUAUAACACCCAAACA
This 2909-nucleotide ribosomal RNA is filed under the name Pseudomonas aeruginosa. Its description in RNAcentral is "23S ribosomal RNA". It matches the Rfam family "Bacterial large subunit ribosomal RNA". The record is from RNAcentral. Lineage: Bacteria; Pseudomonadati; Pseudomonadota; Gammaproteobacteria; Pseudomonadales; Pseudomonadaceae.